CCUACGGGUGGCAGCAGUGGGGAAUAUUGCACAAUGGGCGAACGCCUGAUGCAGCAACGCCGCGUGAAGGAAGACGGUUUUCGGAUUGUAAACUUCUAUCAAUAGGGAAGAAAGAAAUGACGGUACCUAAAUAAGAAGCCCCGGCUAACUACGUGCCAGCAGCCGCGGUAAUACGUAGGGGGCAAGCGUUAUCCGGAUUUAGUGGGUUUAAAGGGUGCGUAGGCGGAUCGUUAAGUCAGUGGUCAAAUUGAGGGGCUCAACCCCUUCCCGCCAUUGAAACUGGCGCUCUUGAGUGGAAGAGAAGUAUGCGGAAUGCGUGGUGUAGCGGUGAAAUGCAUAGAUAUCACGCAGAACCCCGAUUGCGAAGGCAGCAUGCCGGCUUCCGACUGACGCUGAAGCACGAAAGCGUGGGGAUCGAACAGGAUUAGAUACCCCAGUAGUC
This 442-nucleotide ribosomal RNA is filed under the name uncultured bacterium. Its description in RNAcentral is "partial 16S ribosomal RNA". It matches the Rfam family "Bacterial small subunit ribosomal RNA", at positions 338 to 795 of the family's 1533-position model. The record is from RNAcentral.